GACGAACGCUGGCGGCGUGCUUAACACAUGCAAGUCGAACGGAAAGGCCCUGCUGUUGUGGGUUGCUCGAGUGGCGAACGGGUGAGUAACACGUGAGUAACCUGCCCUUGACUUUGGGAUAACUUCAGGAAACUGGGGCUAAUACCGGAUAGGAGCUCCUGCUGCAUGGUGGGGGUUGGAAAGUUUCGGCGGUUGGGGAUGGACUCGCGGCUUAUCAGCUUGUUGGUGGGGUAGUGGCUUACCAAGGCUUUGACGGGUAGCCGGCCUGAGAGGGUGACCGGCCACAUUGGGACUGAGAGACGGCCCAGACUCCUACGGGAGGCAGCAGUGGGGAAUAUUGCACAAUGGGCGGAAGCCUGAUGCAGCAACGCCGCGUGCGGGAUGACGGCCUUCGAGUUGUAAACCGAUUUCGCCUGUGACGAAGCGUGAGUGACGGUAAUGGGUAAAGAAGCACCGGCUAACUACGUG
RNAcentral lists this ribosomal RNA (468 nucleotides) under uncultured bacterium. Its description in RNAcentral is "partial 16S ribosomal RNA". It matches the Rfam family "Bacterial small subunit ribosomal RNA", at positions 28 to 507 of the family's 1533-position model. The record is from RNAcentral.